Molecule: ribosomal RNA, 2932 nt
Filed under: Escherichia coli
Lineage: Bacteria; Pseudomonadati; Pseudomonadota; Gammaproteobacteria; Enterobacterales; Enterobacteriaceae
Description: bacterial LSU rRNA
Rfam family: Bacterial large subunit ribosomal RNA
Source: RNAcentral
GGGUUGUGAGGUUAAGCGACUAAGCGUACACGGUGGAUGCCCUGGCAGUCAGAGGCGAUGAAGGACGUGCUAAUCUGCGAUAAGCGUCGGUAAGGUGAUAUGAACCGUUAUAACCGGCGAUUUCCGAAUGGGGAAACCCAGUGUGUUUCGACACACUAUCAUUAACUGAAUCCAUAGGUUAAUGAGGCGAACCGGGGGAACUGAAACAUCUAAGUACCCCGAGGAAAAGAAAUCAACCGAGAUUCCCCCAGUAGCGGCGAGCGAACGGGGAGGAGCCCAGAGCCUGAAUCAGUGUGUGUGUUAGUGGAAGCGUCUGGAAAGGCGCGCGAUACAGGGUGACAGCCCCGUACACAAAAAUGCACAUGCUGUGAGCUCGAUGAGUAGGGCGGGACACGUGGUAUCCUGUCUGAAUAUGGGGGGACCAUCCUCCAAGGCUAAAUACUCCUGACUGACCGAUAGUGAACCAGUACCGUGAGGGAAAGGCGAAAAGAACCCCGGCGAGGGGAGUGAAAAAGAACCUGAAACCGUGUACGUACAAGCAGUGGGAGCACAGAGCAAUCUGUGUGACUGCGUACCUUUUGUAUAAUGGGUCAGCGACUUAUAUUCUGUAGCAAGGUUAACCGAAUAGGGGAGCCGAAGGGAAACCGAGUCUUAACCGGGCGUUAAGUUGCAGGGUAUAGACCCGAAACCCGGUGAUCUAGCCAUGGGCAGGUUGAAGGUUGGGUAACACUAACUGGAGGACCGAACCGACUAAUGUUGAAAAAUUAGCGGAUGACUUGUGGCUGGGGGUGAAAGGCCAAUCAAACCGGGAGAUAGCUGGUUCUCCCCGAAAGCUAUUUAGGUAGCGCCUCGUGAAUUCAUCUCCGGGGGUAGAGCACUGUUUCGGCAAGGGGGUCAUCCCGACUUACCAACCCGAUGCAAACUGCGAAUACCGGAGAAUGUUAUCACGGGAGACACACGGCGGGUGCUAACGUCCGUCGUGAAGAGGGAAACAACCCAGACCGCCAGCUAAGGUCCCAAAGUCAUGGUUAAGUGGGAAACGAUGUGGGAAGGCCCAGACAGCCAGGAUGUUGGCUUAGAAGCAGCCAUCAUUUAAAGAAAGCGUAAUAGCUCACUGGUCGAGUCGGCCUGCGCGGAAGAUGUAACGGGGCUAAACCAUGCACCGAAGCUGCGGCAGCGACACUGUGUGUUGUUGGGUAGGGGAGCGUUCUGUAAGCCUGUGAAGGUGUGCUGUGAGGCAUGCUGGAGGUAUCAGAAGUGCGAAUGCUGACAUAAGUAACGAUAAAGCGGGUGAAAAGCCCGCUCGCCGGAAGACCAAGGGUUCCUGUCCAACGUUAAUCGGGGCAGGGUGAGUCGACCCCUAAGGCGAGGCCGAAAGGCGUAGUCGAUGGGAAACAGGUUAAUAUUCCUGUACUUGGUGUUACUGCGAAGGGGGGACGGAGAAGGCUAUGUUGGCCGGGCGACGGUUGUCCCGGUUUAAGCGUGUAGGCUGGUUUUCUAGGCAAAUCCGGAAAAUCAAGGCUGAGGCGUGAUGACGAGGCACUACGGUGCUGAAGCAACAAAUGCCCUGCUUCCAGGAAAAGCCUCUAAGCAUCAGGUAACAUCAAAUCGUACCCCAAACCGACACAGGUGGUCAGGUAGAGAAUACCAAGGCGCUUGAGAGAACUCGGGUGAAGGAACUAGGCAAAAUGGUGCCGUAACUUCGGGAGAAGGCACGCUGAUAUGUAGGUGAAGUCCCUCGCGGAUGGAGCUGAAAUCAGUCGAAGAUACCAGCUGGCUGCAACUGUUUAUUAAAAACACAGCACUGUGCAAACACGAAAGUGGACGUAUACGGUGUGACGCCUGCCCGGUGCCGGAAGGUUAAUUGAUGGGGUCAGCGCAAGCGAAGCUCUUGAUCGAAGCCCCGGUAAACGGCGGCCGUAACUAUAACGGUCCUAAGGUAGCGAAAUUCCUUGUCGGGUAAGUUCCGACCUGCACGAAUGGCGUAAUGAUGGCCAGGCUGUCUCCACCCGAGACUCAGUGAAAUUGAACUCGCUGUGAAGAUGCAGUGUACCCGCGGCAAGACGGAAAGACCCCGUGAACCUUUACUAUAGCUUGACACUGAACAUUGAGCCUUGAUGUGUAGGAUAGGUGGGAGGCUUUGAAGUGUGGACGCCAGUCUGCAUGGAGCCGACCUUGAAAUACCACCCUUUAAUGUUUGAUGUUCUAACGUGGACCCGUGAUCCGGGUUGCGGACAGUGUCUGGUGGGUAGUUUGACUGGGGCGGUCUCCUCCUAAAGAGUAACGGAGGAGCACGAAGGUUGGCUAAUCCUGGUCGGACAUCAGGAGGUUAGUGCAAUGGCAUAAGCCAGCUUGACUGCGAGCGUGACGGCGCGAGCAGGUGCGAAAGCAGGUCAUAGUGAUCCGGUGGUUCUGAAUGGAAGGGCCAUCGCUCAACGGAUAAAAGGUACUCCGGGGAUAACAGGCUGAUACCGCCCAAGAGUUCAUAUCGACGGCGGUGUUUGGCACCUCGAUGUCGGCUCAUCACAUCCUGGGGCUGAAGUAGGUCCCAAGGGUAUGGCUGUUCGCCAUUUAAAGUGGUACGCGAGCUGGGUUUAGAACGUCGUGAGACAGUUCGGUCCCUAUCUGCCGUGGGCGCUGGAGAACUGAGGGGGGCUGCUCCUAGUACGAGAGGACCGGAGUGGACGCAUCACUGGUGUUCGGGUUGUCAUGCCAAUGGCACUGCCCGGUAGCUAAAUGCGGAAGAGAUAAGUGCUGAAAGCAUCUAAGCACGAAACUUGCCCCGAGAUGAGUUCUCCCUGACCCUUUAAGGGUCCUGAAGGAACGUUGAAGACGACGACGUUGAUAGGCCGGGUGUGUAAGCGCAGCGAUGCGUUGAGCUAACCGGUACUAAUGAACCGUGAGGCUUAACCUUACAACGCCGAAGGUGUUU